This 795-nucleotide long non-coding RNA is filed under the name Danio rerio (zebrafish). RNAcentral describes it as "lncRNA si:ch211-270h14.1 (ENSDARG00000096706.4)". Lineage: Eukaryota; Metazoa; Chordata; Actinopteri; Cypriniformes; Danionidae. The record is from RNAcentral.
AUCGUUGGAGUGGCAUUUCCGUUUGUACAGUGAAGAAAUGAGUUACAAGUAAUAAAUAAAAGCGACUUUUGUUAGAUUUCUUUUAACCUACAAUCUACUGAAAUUAAACCCGUUGUUAUCCUGCGACGGAGAGCGAAAUGAACACCCGACGGUGCAUCUUGUGAACAACUUUGAAGCGGAUCUCCUUCCAGCCACAACCCAGCACUGGGAAACACCCAUUCACUCUCUCAAACAGCAGUCAGACAGAUACAGCAAUGAAGUGAAUGAAGAAGCUAUUCACUUCAGAGUCAAAAAACCAAGGUUCUUCUGCAUAUUUCAUAUUCACCAUUAUUGUCAGGCAGAAGCAUCGUGUACUGUACAUCACACUUGCUUUGACAAUGCAAUGAAGAUGAUCCUUUUGCAGACUUACAUUUCUGGAACUGUUCUUCGCCAGACUUCAACCCCAUCAUCAGGGUCAACUCCUCUCUGUGUUUCAAGUCAGCCAAUGUACUUGUCAAUCUACAGUACAGACUGGUAACAACGGGAAAGCCAUCCAUGAGGUGCCUGAAGCCAUUGACUUGCAUUUCAUGAAUCACCAAGCACCACGGAUGCAGCAAAAAAUCUUCUUUAAUGUUCUACUGCAGUGAAACGUCGUCUCAUCUUAGUUGGCCUGAGGCUUUGAGACUGUUGACUCUGGAAGUGCUGCUGGCAUGUGCCCACCUUCACUCGAAAGGUCAGACAUCUCACAGCCAUGCAUUCAAACAGUCAUCUCUCGUCGUGCUUCUCCACGAAUUUGCUGUUUCAUUGUCAGAAUGA